RNAcentral lists this ribosomal RNA (459 nucleotides) under uncultured bacterium. RNAcentral's name for it is "partial 16S ribosomal RNA". It matches the Rfam family "Bacterial small subunit ribosomal RNA", at positions 338 to 795 of the family's 1533-position model. The record is from RNAcentral.
CCUACGGGGGGCAGCAGUGAGGAAUAUUGGUCAAUGGUCGGGAGACUGAACCAGCCAAGCCGCGUGAGGGAUGAAGGUACAGAGUAUCGUAAACCUCUUUUGUCAGGGAACAAAGGCGGGGACGCGUCCCCGGAUGAGUGUACCUGAAGAAAAAGCAUCGGCUAACUCCGUGCCAGCAGCCGCGGUAAUACGGAGGAUGCGAGCGUUAUCCGGAUUUAUUGGGUUUAAAGGGUGCGCGGGCGGUCGUUUAAGGCAGCGGGAAAAGCCCGGGGCUCAACCCCGGCCCGCCGUUGAAACUGGCAGUCUCGAGUUGGAGAGAAGUAUGCGGAAUGCGCGGUGUAGCGGUGAAAUGCAUAGAUAUCGCGCAGAACUCCGAUUGCGAAGGCAGCAUGCCGGCUCCACACUGACGCUGAGGCACGAAAGCGUGGGUAUCGAACAGGAUUAGAUACCCGGGUAGUC